GAGGGGGGCAGCAUGGGCUACAGCGAGGGGGGCGGCGGCCAAGGGGGCUCCCAGGUAUCCGGCGUUGGCUGUGGCAACGGCGAAAGCGACGAACACGGCUACAAACUGCAAAUAAUUUAUUUAACUAUGUUUUUUUUUUUAAACGGACCCUUACGGCGUUCAUUUUUGGUUGAGAUGCGUUUAUGAAAAACGUUGAAAGAAUGUGUGAUGAAUUGGGAUUUAUUUUCAGUUUAUAUACUUUUGCAAUGGCCUCAACCUCAACAAGACAUUAGUGGCCACCCUAAAUAAAACUGGUUUGGUGUGUUAAGUUACAAGUGCCCAAUAUAAUGUCAAAUAUCGAUCACCCAUUAUAUUGAUGGCACUGAUCUUGUAUUUUUCGGAUUUUUUAAAUAAAUUAAAAAACCUUCACUUUUAGCGUCUAUAUUUAUAUGAAUCACUAAUUUUAAUUUAAAAAAUAUCUUGUCUACUCAUCCAGUAAAUAAAUAUUGAAAGCAAUGGAUUAAUCGUUCAUUCUUAAAAAUGAAUAAGUGAAAAAAUGUUGUGAAAUAACGCAAAGAAUAAAUUUAUUUCUCACUGAAUGUAACUAGAAUACAGCAACGAUAUUGAAUUAAUAUACUAAUUUACAUAUUUAAAGUGUGAUAUAUCUUCACUAACAUUACCUUAAUUUCUUAUAAAGGAUAUAAAAAUUAUGAAGCAACAAAACUGUCGCAAUAAUUAACAAAUGAUCUGCAACUUUCUAUGAAUGUUUUAGCCACAAUUUUCGGCAACAGGAAAAACAUGAAUAUUAUACAAUCAAAUAAGAGGAAAGCUAACAUAACGAAGUUGUUAAUAUUUUCUCCUAAUCUUAAUAAGAUGAACCAUUAAAAGCUGCUGACAUUAUGCUAAUAUUCUAAUAAUAUUAGCAAAUUAUCUAAUGUAUCACUUUUAUGAAAAAGCAGCAACUUUAGAAACUUGAAAUUAGGUAAAAACCAACAUUUGGAAUUGCAUGCAAUUAUUACAAAAUUUAUUAACACCAAUUUUUUAAAUACAAAAAUUGUUCCAGUUAAUUAUAAUUAAGUACACACGUUGUUGAGACAAAAGUUUUAAACAAGUUUUGUUGCCCAUAAACAACCUCGCUCUUAAAUACAGAUUACCUAAUAUGUAAACAUAAUUAUCCCAUCAUUGCACCACCUCCCAUGCCUCCCAUUCCUCCCAUCAUUCCAGCGGUAAUUGGAGGCAGCAUCAUUGCACCACCCAUGCCCCCCAUGCCAGCUCCCAUCAUUCCCGCUCCACCCAUCAUUCCUCCCCUCAUCCUUGCGCCACCCAUCAUCAUUCUUCCGCCACCCAUCAUCAUUCCUCCUCUCAUUCCCGCACCGCCCAUCAUUCCAGUGGUCAUUAACGGCAUUAUCAAGGGUGACCCCAUUACGGCAACGCUAAUUGUGGCCAAAAAAAUGACAGCGAGAAUGACCUGUUAAAAAUAAGAUCAGAUGAGAUAAAAAACAAGUUUUUAAAGACCUACCAAAGUGUUCAUUGUUUAUCAAACUGGCGUUUGAAACUUGAAUGAUGCUUAUUGCACUUCAUGAUUACCUUAUAUAUUGAAAAUUUGUCCUUUGAUUAAAUUGAUUUGAUCCAGACAUUUGUGUACGGUAAUUGUUUCUGAUUUGUUAAUUAGGGAACCUUAAUUUUGAUUAAGUGUGUCAGUCGGAUAUAGCAAAUUACGAACGAAUUUUCUUUGCAAUGUAAACAAUUAUAAAUUAAAUAACACGUUUAAAUUAAAUUUCAACAUGUUUAAUUAAACCUGUUUCAGGUGUAACUGUGUUUACUUUAUUAUUAAAGACUUUUUCCAGUUUUGAUAUAAAUUUUUCGCUUCAAAGCUUGAGCUUACGGAAUUAUGAGUUUACUUUUAAAGGGUAAAACUUUUAUUAACAGAGGCUAACGUAUAACUUUUCAGCAUACAUAUUUGUUAGUUUUCUGAUUUAUUUAUUUAAGUGAUUUUGUGGUUUUAUUUAGAAAAAAUGUUUUGUUACGUUCGAGGUUGCUGAUCGAAAAAAUUAGCUGUUGAAAUCUUUAGAAAAAUUGUAACAAAUUCGUUAUAUAAGUAUCAAAAAAAUUCACAGUCAAGGUCUUUUUGACCUAUAUAAGCUUUCUUUAUUCUUUAUCCUGUCAGAGUUUGUGGAAAACACAAGCAGUCUUUAACUAAAACCAAGAUGAAAUUCAUUGUUGCCGUUUUCUUUGUUUUGUCCAUUGCUGCAGUUUAUGGUCAAAUCAUUAGUUCUGAAGUUACUUCCUUGACUGAUGGUGUAAUUGCCCAACCUGUAGAAGCUGCACCUUUGAGUGGAGGACUUAUUGCUUCUCCUUGGGCUGAAGGUGCCGUAGUUGGCACUGUUUGGUAAAAAUGUUAUUGUGAUGGAAAAUUACUUUUAAGAAAUAAAGAACUGAGCUUUCUAAA
This is a long non-coding RNA of Tribolium madens (black flour beetle), 2428 nucleotides long. RefSeq lists it as uncharacterized. The transcript has 2 exons. The record is from RefSeq and is a predicted model, not a curated record. NCBI's taxonomy places the organism in Eukaryota, Metazoa, Arthropoda, Insecta, Coleoptera, Tenebrionidae.